Molecule: non-coding RNA, 72 nt
Organism: Rhamnusium bicolor
Lineage: Eukaryota; Metazoa; Arthropoda; Insecta; Coleoptera; Cerambycidae
Source: the annotation of a GenBank genome assembly
GACGUCGUGGUCGAGUGGUAAGGACACUUGCCUCUCACCCUGGAGUCCCGGGUUCGAUCCCCGAGGAUUUUU